GAUGAACGCUGGCGGCGUGCCUAAUACAUGCAAGUCGAGCGAACAGAUGAGGAGCUUGCUCCUCUGACGUUAGCGGCGGACGGGUGAGUAACACGUGGAUAACCUACCUAUAAGACUGGGAUAACUUCGGGAAACCGUAGCUAAUACCGGAUAAUAUAUUGAACCGCAUGGUUCAAUAGUUAAAGACGGUUUUGCUGUCACUUAUAGAUGGAUCCGCGCCGCAUUAGCUAGUUGGUAAGGUAACGGCUUACCAAGGCAACGAUGCGUAGCCGACCUGAGAGGGUGAUCGGCCACACUGGAACUGAGACGCGGUACAGACUCCUACGGGAGGCAGCAGUAGGGAAUCUUCCGCAAUGGGCGAAAGCCUGACGGAGCAACGCCGCGUGAGUGAUGAAGGUCUUCGGAUCGUAAAACUCUGUUAUUAGGGAAGAACAAAUGUGUAAGGAACUAUGCACGUCUUGACGGUACCUAAUCAGAAAGCCACGGCUAACUACGUG
Molecule: ribosomal RNA, 497 nt
Filed under: uncultured bacterium
Lineage: Bacteria
Description: partial 16S ribosomal RNA
Rfam family: Bacterial small subunit ribosomal RNA
Source: RNAcentral